Molecule: transfer RNA, 65 nt
Filed under: Pupa strigosa
Lineage: Eukaryota; Metazoa; Mollusca; Gastropoda; Acteonidae
Description: tRNA-Gln
Source: RNAcentral
AUCUUUUCGGUGUAUGGCACAGAAGAAUUUGAUCCUUCAAGAGGGCAGCCAUGGCCCAAGAGAUG